Molecule: long non-coding RNA, 797 nt
Organism: Lathyrus oleraceus (garden pea)
Lineage: Eukaryota; Viridiplantae; Streptophyta; Magnoliopsida; Fabales; Fabaceae
Exons: 2
Source: RefSeq, a predicted model, not a curated record
AGACCUGCUACAAAACAGUGCAAAACGACAUCAGCAGGAAGCAAGAUAGAAACAGCAGCGUGAACGUGUAACACUCACAAGCCAAACUGCAUAACAAGCCAAAAUUCAAGCUGCAAACGAAGCGAGGCCAAAGCGCUGCAACGCGAAGCCAAAAACGGUAAUACAAAAGUGUAAGCGACUCCAAAAAAAUCCAAACGCAGCUUGAUAAGCAGAAUUCAUAAACGGCAACCGAAUUGACCAAACGCAGAUUUUUUUUUAAUAAAUAGAGAAGCUUAUCAGUUGAAUCUCUCCUCUUCUUUGGCAACAUUCUGAAAAGAUCAACAUCGCCGUCGUGCUUCAAUAACCGGCGAAGUUCAGCUUCGCAUCCAAUAUCCACCGCACAUGCCCAUUCUCGUGUAGCGUACAAGCCGAGCCACCAUGAGAGAAUAUACAAAACGAAUCGCAAGUAAAUUCGUAACCGAAAUCGAUCGCCGAAACGAAUCGAAUGGGAGAAGAUUGAACGAGAAGGGAAGCGCUUGAGUUCGGAAUCGAUGCUGCCUUCGUCGUCGCGGACCCUUGCAAGAGGCCUUGGACAAAUAUUCAACCCUAACAUGAAAGGAGCAUUCAAGACUCAAGACUUGUAAUCUUUUAUACGCUUUCUAGUUUAGGACACAAUUGCACACACACGGCUUUCUCUUGGGCUACCUGACAAUGAGACCUUUUAUUUCCUGCACUCCCUUGUACUACAUGUACCCCCUCCCCUUUACGAUGUAUGCUUUUACUUGCUUUGUCUUUUAUUGCUUUAUAGUUACUCCUUA